GGGAAAAGGGAUUAAAUCCCUGAGCCCUCCCGGCUGCAUAUUCAACACUUUCUUCUAAAGUACCAAAAUACUCAAGUUGUAUUUUCCUCCUCAGCCUGCAAAGAAAAUAAGGGUUUCUGGGAUUGAGAAUAACAACCAUCAUAAUUAACUCUGAGAAAAACAUAAUACUUAGUUCUAGAAACUAAAUGGCAACACAUUGUUAAAUUGAUAUUUAACCACAACACUGAACCACACUCCACUGUGCUGAUUAUAUGUGAGAGAGAGCUCAGAAAACCCCAGAAAAUGAGCUUGUGUUUCCACAACCCUAGAAAAUCAAUGUGUCACAGAUGUUACCGUGGACAUUUGCAGAUCAGAGAGGGGAC
RNAcentral lists this long non-coding RNA (362 nucleotides) under Chrysolophus pictus (golden pheasant). RNAcentral's name for it is "lncRNA (ENSCPIG00010011783.1)". Lineage: Eukaryota; Metazoa; Chordata; Aves; Galliformes; Phasianidae. The record is from RNAcentral.